AGAUGGAGAGGCUGGUGGAGGCGUGCGGAGGAUGGGGGAGGAUGGUAGGGGGUGGUAGGCUGUUUCUCCUGUGUGAGCCAGGCUAAUGAAAGAUGAAUGAGGGAGGCAGUGGUGAGAAGGAGAGUGUGGCUGCGGGCGAUGCCUGGCUGAGCUGCUGUGUGCGCGCGUGUCGGGGUUUUGUGUGUGCGGCGUAGUUGAGCAAGUCUCACAAAAGGGAUGAUGCUGUGUACACAAUAUCGGGAGCAAAUGGUCAACAACAAUAAACACGAAGACACGCUUCUGCGCUCACGCUCGCGGGCGCAUGUAGCCUUAAGUCUCAGCCUGCUGCCACCUGUAAGCAUGCAGUCAAUCAUUAGUACUCGCGCAGCGUCUCCGAAGCCUCGCUCACUUAUUCAGACCUUCCAUCUAUCAAGCUGUCACUCACUCUUUGAACCCGUCUAUCUCACCUUCCGCAUUCUCUGCAAAAUCCCUCAUUUACUGCCUCUCCCUAUCUCCUCCAAUAUCCCACCCUGCCAGUCUAUACCACUUUCCUUCCCUCCGUUUCCAUUUCCUCCUUCUAUCAGCGUUCACCUUUUCUUUUUCUUUUUUUUGUCUGCCUCUAAUUGUUGUGCCGAACAUCCUCAGAGCUGUGGGUGAAACGCACUUAAAACAGCUUGGACGAGAACUCCUUCCCCAGAGUGGAGGGCAGCCAGACAGAGAAGUCAUCCUGAACCCGAUUGCACUUCCUCCGCUCUAUGACUGACUGCCUUACUUCUUUUUUUUUUUUCUUCCCUCCAGACAAAUCACAUGCUUCGCAGUGCCCAAACAAGGCUCUCAUUCUCCCUGCGGUGCCGCUGCUGACAGCGAAUCAGAACUUUUCUUUGACUAGAAAGUCUAAUUCUGUAAAAUUGAAUUUGAUAUCUAAGAUAAAUUAUAGGUGGGACAAAAUCAAUGCAAGUAUAGGACAGUAAAGAAGGAGAUUUAUAUAUAAUUUUUUAAAUGUAUGCCAAGCUCACAUGAUAUUCUACUGCCUUUCCUGAAGGUUUCAGAAAGAUUUUAGCUUUUAAGCCCCUAAAACUAAAUCCAGCUCAAAGGUUUCU
Long non-coding RNA from Astatotilapia calliptera (eastern happy), 1079 nucleotides. NCBI's taxonomy places the organism in Eukaryota, Metazoa, Chordata, Actinopteri, Cichliformes, Cichlidae. The record is from Ensembl.